This 1395-nucleotide long non-coding RNA is filed under the name Felis catus (domestic cat). RNAcentral's name for it is "lncRNA (ENSFCAG00000041668.2)". The record is from RNAcentral. Lineage: Eukaryota; Metazoa; Chordata; Mammalia; Carnivora; Felidae.
CAAAACCUUAUUGACCAACAAAUAAUUUGUUGUACACAUCUGCUGGGAUAUCAAUUUCCAUGUGUCUCUUGUUUUUACAUGUCUUGUGAUCAGAGGCAGUGACUGCUGUUUUUCCUGUGCUAUUUUUUUCAAGGAAUUGUUUUUACAGCUAACAGCCUUGGGAGAUACAGUGUCUCUCUCUAAAGCAGAGGCAGGAUUUCCUAAUAUAAUAAUGAUAGGACAUGAUAUGUGAUAUAAUAUAAUGUAAUUCCUCUAGAACACAUGAGCAGACAGGUUUACUUCCAUUAUAUAAGAUUUGAGUUCCCUAGGCUCAGGGAUCUUCUUUAACACAACCCAUUGCAGGUACAAAUAUCACCUGGCCCACUUAGAGUUGCCCUUUGGGAGUUUUGUUCAUAGAACUGGAGGGAGGCAAUGCUGAUAUUUUGGCUACUGAUAUUUCUUGAGUAAUAAAGUCCUUUGCCUUUGUCUAUGGGUCUCACGGCUUUUGACAGAAUCUGUGAAACUGUGGUGUGCUUCUAGUUUGCUAGAAGCAAACUUCUAACUUCUAGUUCACUUCUAGUUUGGAUUGAACCUCAGACUGCUCAUUGUUCUGAACAUCUUGAAAAGAAACAAAGAACAGUGGGACUACUUCAAGAAGGGAGGAAGGAGACAAGGUUUUCCCUCCAUGCACGCUUUCUGAAUUUCUACCCUUGGCAUUACGUGUGUUUAAUAUUUUCCCCAACCUUCAACCAUGUAGGGACAUGUUCUUCAUGAUAAAUCUUCAAUGCAAUCGUAUGUAUUUCCGGCAUAUUCAUCUGAAGAUGCUAUAUGGCAAGCAUUAUCCUGGGCAUUGGAAAUACUGUAGUGAAUCACAGAGGCAAGAUCUCAGCUCUCAUGGAGCUUGGAGGCUAAUGGGAGAGACAGCCAGCCAACUAACAACAACAACAAAAAAACAAUAAAUAAAGAUCCAAAUGCCAAAAAAACUAAACAAGGUAAUGCGGAAAGGGAGCUUGGGGUGCUUUGUGAGAUGGCAUAGUUAAGAAUGGCCAUUGUUAGUAGGUGACAUUUGAGCGGAACCCUCAAUAAUAAGAGAGAAGAAACCAUGUCAAGAUCUUAGAAAAUUUCCUUCCAGACAGAGGAAACAGCAAGGCAAAGAUUCUAGGUCUGUGAUUUGCCACCAUUUACAUUUACCUAGCUAUUCUUUACAUAAACAUUUUACCCAUGCUAAUGGGGCAUAAGAGUGUUUGUCCUUAUUCAUUUUACUUGGAGGCUUGUACAGUUUGGAGGAAAGAUCAAUUGAUGAUCAUUCUCUAUAUUUAUCUGCCACGAUAACAUACUGUAUUUUACUGGUGCAAGUAGCUGUUGGGGUUGAACUCUCCUGUGUUCUCGAAACUAGACCUUCUCAGGGCGCCUGGG